GGGGAUGACUGGCUUUGACAGCAUGUAGAGGUGGUUCGUAAGCACGUAGUGCGUCGUUGCUCUAGCACUUAAAUCUCAGACAUCUACACUUUUAAGUGGCGAAGAUUAUAACUACGCUCUCGCAGCGUAAUCGAAGUUUAGUAGAUUACUGCUCCUUCGCUUGAGUUUUAGCUCGCGACGAGACAUCACUCCGAUACCGUGAACCCGAGGUGGUCGGAUAUAGUGAUGCCGUAAUAUCGGGAAGGGUUGGUGGUGUGUCCCUCACCUCCGACGACAUUCAAAGGACUAAGUGAGUAGGAGGGUGGCUUUGGCCUAGCCCACUCGCCGACAAUUAAAGCAAAGCUAAACGUGUAGAAAGCGGAUUAGUUCCGUGUUUGGACGAGGGUUCGACUCCCUCCAUCUCCAC
Molecule: transfer-messenger RNA, 406 nt
Filed under: Porphyromonas levii
Lineage: Bacteria; Pseudomonadati; Bacteroidota; Bacteroidia; Bacteroidales; Porphyromonadaceae
Description: transfer-messenger RNA, SsrA
Rfam family: transfer-messenger RNA
About the family: Bacterial tmRNA, also known as 10Sa RNA or SsrA, is named for its dual tRNA and mRNA-like properties. Its role is to liberate the mRNA from a stalled ribosome.
Source: RNAcentral